This 89-nucleotide transfer RNA is filed under the name Bdellovibrionales bacterium RIFOXYC1_FULL_39_130. Its description in RNAcentral is "tRNA-Ser". It matches the Rfam family "tRNA". Rfam says of the family: Transfer RNA (tRNA) molecules are approximately 80 nucleotides in length. Their secondary structure includes four short double-helical elements and three loops (D, anti-codon, and T loops). RNAcentral also lists the same sequence under 7 other names. The record is from RNAcentral. Lineage: Bacteria; Pseudomonadati; Bdellovibrionota; Bdellovibrionia; Bdellovibrionales.
GGAGGAUUGGCUGAGUGGUUGAAAGCGGCGGUCUUGAAAACCGUUGUACCCUUCGGGUACCGCAGGUUCGAAUCCUGUGUCCUCCGCCA